RNAcentral lists this ribosomal RNA (729 nucleotides) under uncultured eukaryote. RNAcentral's name for it is "SSU rRNA". It matches the Rfam family "Eukaryotic small subunit ribosomal RNA", at positions 670 to 1426 of the family's 1831-position model. The record is from RNAcentral.
CGGCUGUGCUGGCUCGGUUGGGCCUUUCUUUCUGGAGAACCUCAUGCCCUUCACUGGGUGUGUUGGGGAACCAGGACUUUUACUCUGAACAAAUUAGAUCGCUUAAAGAAGGCCUAUGCUCGAAUACAUUAGCAUGGAAUAAUAGAAUAGGACGUGUGGUUCUAUUUUGUUGGUUUCUAGGACCGCCGUAAUGAUUAAUAGGGACAGUCGGGGGCAUCAGUAUUCAAUUGUCAGAGGUGAAAUUCUUGGAUUUAUUGAAGACUAACUACUGCGAAAGCAUUUGCCAAGGAUGUUUUCAUUAAUCAGGAACGAAAGUUAGGGGAUCGAAGACGAUCAGAUACCGUCGUAGUCUUAACCAUAAACUAUGCCGAUUAGGGAUCGGACGGUGUUAUUUUUUGACCCGUUCGGCACCUUACGAUAAAUCAAAAUGUUUGGGCUCCUGGGGGAGUAUGGUCGCAGGGCUGAAACUUAAAGAAAUUGACGGAAGGGCACCACCAGGGGUGGAGCCUGCGGCUUAAUUUGACUCAACACGGGGAAACUCACCAGGUCCAGACACGAUGAGGAUUGACAGAUUGAGAGCUCUUUCUUGAUUUCGUGGGUGGUGGUGCAUGGCCGUUCUUAGUUGGUGGAGUGAUUUGUCUGCUUAAUUGCGAUAACGAACGAGACCUUAACCUGCUAAAUAGCCCGUAUUGCUUUGGCAGUACGCCGGCUUCUUAGAGGGACUAUCGG